This 736-nucleotide ribosomal RNA is filed under the name Philautus aurantium (Mendolong bubble-nest frog). Its description in RNAcentral is "partial 12S ribosomal RNA". The stretch from base 1 to 500 matches the Rfam family "Bacterial small subunit ribosomal RNA", at positions 794 to 1533 of the family's 1533-position model. The record is from RNAcentral. Lineage: Eukaryota; Metazoa; Chordata; Amphibia; Anura; Rhacophoridae.
GCCAAGUCGUAAAAAAUCAACUCACACAAUCAACGCCAGGGUAUUACGAGCUUCAGCUUAAAACCCAAAGGACUUGACGGUGUCCCACCCCACUAGAGGAGCCUGUUCUAUAAUCGAUAAUCCACGUUAUACCCAACCAUUUUUUGCCUUUCAGCCUGUAUACCUCCGUCGCAAACUUACCACAUGAGUGAACAACAGUAGGUUUAAUAGCUCAAACACUACAACGUCAGGUCAAGGUGCAGCUCACAAAAUGGAUAGCAAUGGGCUACAAUUUCUAAGCUAGAACAAACGAAUUACUGCAUGAAAUAUAGUCAUGAAGGCGGAUUUAGUAGUAAGUAGGGAACAGAGAGCCCUACUGAAUCCGGCUCUGGGACGUGUACAAACCGCCCGUCACCCUCUUCAACAACCCAACAUAGUUUCAUAACUCAAUUAAAAAACUUAGAAGAGGUAAGUCGUAACAUGGUAAGUGUACUGGAAAGUGCCCUUGGCAAACAAAAUGUAGCUUAAUCAAAGCCUCCCGCUUACACCGAGAAGAUAUCCAUGCAACCAGAUCAUUUUGAGCCCACAACAAGCCUACAAUAUUACAUAUGCAUUACUACCUAGUUUACUUACAAAAUAAAACAUUCUGAUUCUAUAGUAAAGGCGAUCAAAAUAAUACUUAGCGCUUAAAAGUACCGCAAGGGAAAAGUGAAAUACUAUGAAAACUCAAGCCAACAACAGCAGAGAUCCCAACUCG